UUGGAGGGCAAGUCUGGUGCCAGCAGCCGCAGUAAUUCCAGCUCCAAUAGCGUAUAUUAAAGUUGUUGCAGUUAAAAAGCUCGUAGUUGAAUUUCGGGGUUCAUACGUUGGUCGGGCUUUUUGGUCUGUACUAGCGUAAUGGAUUCCUACCUUCUGAAUAACCGGCAUGCCAUUAAUUUGGUGCGCCGGGGAAGCAGGACUGUUACCUUGAAAAAAUUAGAGUGCUUAAAGCAGGCUAUUGCCUGAAUACAUUAGCAUGGAAUAAUGAAAUAGGACGGCAUGGUUCUAUUUUGUUGGUUUCUAGGAUCACCGUAAUGAUUAAUAGGGAUAGUUGGGGGCAUUAGUAUUCAAUUGUCAGAGGUGAAAUUCUUGGAUUUAUUGAAGACUAACUUCUGCGAAAGCAUUUGCCAAGGAUGUUUUCAUUAAUCAAGAACGAAAGUUAGGGGAUCGAAGACGAUCAGAUACCGUCGUAGUCUUAACCAUAAACUAUGCCGACUAGGGAUCGGACGAUGUUAAUUUUUUAAUGACUCGUUCGGCGCCUUACGGGAAAC
This 551-nucleotide ribosomal RNA is filed under the name uncultured Acaulospora. RNAcentral's name for it is "SSU rRNA". It matches the Rfam family "Eukaryotic small subunit ribosomal RNA", at positions 548 to 1098 of the family's 1831-position model. The record is from RNAcentral. Lineage: Eukaryota; Fungi; Glomeromycota; Glomeromycetes; Diversisporales; Acaulosporaceae.